This 422-nucleotide long non-coding RNA is filed under the name Brassica napus (rape). Its description in RNAcentral is "long non-coding RNA (BNAP_LNC023225)". The record is from RNAcentral. Lineage: Eukaryota; Viridiplantae; Streptophyta; Magnoliopsida; Brassicales; Brassicaceae.
UGGCAAAAAGUUGACUUUUAGCGGAUGAUUAACUAAAUAGAACAAAAAACUAAUCUAAACAACACUACUCUGAAACUACACCAACCCACCCUUACCAACGACAAACGCACGGAGAAAGACAGGAAAACAAAGCUAGCGAGCUAAAGCGAAGCUGUUUCUGAGCCACAGCAGCUCACAAUAGAUGGUUGACAUAUCACACGGAGACACCGGACCCGGUAGAAUGCGGCUUGCCCAGAGUCCGGUUCUGAAGGAUGACCUCAACACAAAGGAGCCAAUACGAACAUUGACAGCUUCACCAGGCGACCGCUAGCGAAGCAACACGGUAGACCACACAAGACGAUGAGCCGCAAGAUUAUUCAGGAAGGAGAACCCGCCAGAAGUGCCACUCCACCGCACCUGAAACUAAGGAGACAGACUAAACC